Molecule: non-coding RNA, 69 nt
Organism: Rattus norvegicus (Norway rat)
Lineage: Eukaryota; Metazoa; Chordata; Mammalia; Rodentia; Muridae
Source: Rfam
GGGGAUUUAGCUCAGUGGUAGAGCGAUUGCCUAGGAAGCGCAAGGCCCUGGGUUCGGUCCCCAGCUCCG